UAGGGAAUCUUCCGCAAUGGGCGAAAGCCUGACGGAGCAACGCCGCGUGAGUGAUGAAGGUCUUCGGAUCGUAAAACUCUGUUAUUAGGGAAGAACAAAUGUGUAAGUAACUAUGCACAUCUUGACGGUACCUAAUCAGAAAGCCACGGCUAACUACGUGCCAGCAGCCGCGGUAAUACGUAGGUGGCAAGCGUUAUCCGGAAUUAUUGGGCGUAAAGCGCGCGUAGGCGGUUUUUUAAGUCUGAUGUGAAAGCCCACGGCUCAACCGUGGAGGGUCAUUGGAAACUGGAAAACUUGAGUGCAGAAGAGGAAAGUGGAAUUCCAUGUGUAGCGGUGAAAUGCGCAGAGAUAUGGAGGAACACCAGUGGCGAAGGCGGCUCUCUGGUCUGUAACUGACGCUGAGGCUCGAAAGCGUGGGGAGCGAACAGG
Molecule: ribosomal RNA, 429 nt
Filed under: Bacteroidota bacterium
Lineage: Bacteria; Pseudomonadati; Bacteroidota
Description: Bacteroidetes bacterium partial 16S ribosomal RNA
Rfam family: Bacterial small subunit ribosomal RNA
Source: RNAcentral